GUGAAGAUGCAGUGUACCCGCGGCAAGACGGAAAGACCCCGUGAACCUUUACUAUAGCUUGACACUGAACAUUGAGCCUUGAUGUGUAGGAUAGGUGGGAGGCUUUGAAGUGUGGACGCCAGUCUGCGAUGGAGCCGAUCUUGAAUACCACCCUUUAAUGUUUGAUGUUCUAACGUGGACCCGUGAUCCGGGUUGCGGACAGUGUCUGGUGGGUAGUUUGACUGGGGCGGUCUCCUCCUAAAGAGUAACGGAGGGUCUCCAGUGUGGAGG
RNAcentral lists this ribosomal RNA (270 nucleotides) under Escherichia coli. Its description in RNAcentral is "partial 23S ribosomal RNA". It matches the Rfam family "Bacterial large subunit ribosomal RNA", at positions 2053 to 2322 of the family's 2925-position model. Lineage: Bacteria; Pseudomonadati; Pseudomonadota; Gammaproteobacteria; Enterobacterales; Enterobacteriaceae. The record is from RNAcentral.